Molecule: ribosomal RNA, 1672 nt
Filed under: human gut metagenome
Description: bacterial LSU rRNA
Rfam family: Bacterial large subunit ribosomal RNA
Source: RNAcentral
GGUGAGUCGGGUCCUAAGGCGAGGCCGACAGGCGUAGUCGAAUGGAUGAACGGGUGGAUAUUCCCGUACCGACCAUGGACCGGCAAAACCGAGACGGUGAGUACUAACCUCCGCCUCGUGGUGGUUCCUUCCUUCGGGUUGGUCCCGCCGCGUGGUGUUGGGAGCGUAGCCGCAGUAGGUCAGCGCAGGGGUGACACGGAAUGGGAGCCGGCCGCGGAGGUGGUUUUCCGUGGUCAAGCACGCAGCCAGUCAUGUAGGCAAAUCCGCAUGGCGCGCAUGGCGAGGUGUGAUGAUGGGAGCCUUUUGGGCUCGAUAUCCGGUUGUCCAGGCCGUCGAGAAAAGCCUCGGCGUGAGGGCCAUGGCCGCCCGUACCCCAAACCGACACUGGUGGUCAGGUAGAGAAUACCAAGGCGAUCGAGCGAAUCCUGGUCAAGGAACUCGGCAAAUCACUCCCGUGCCUUCGGUAUAAGGGAGACCCGCUGGGGUGAACCGGCUAGCCCGGGGAGCUUUGGUGGGUGGCACAGACCAGGGGGUAGCGACUGUUUACCAAAAACACAGGUGCAUGCGAAGGCGAAAGCCGCUGUAUAUGCACUGACGCCUGCCCGGUGCCGGAAGGUUAAGAGGAUCCGUCAAUCCCUUCGGGGACGAAGCGGUGAAUUCAAGCCCCGGUAAACGGCGGUGGUAACUAUAACCAUCCUAAGGUAGCGAAAUUCCUUGUCGGGUAAGUUCCGACCUGCACGAAUGGCGUAACGACUUCCCCACUGUCUCGACCAGGAGCUCGGCGAAAUUGCAGUACGAGUAAAGAUGCUCGUUAAGCGCAGAAGGACGAAAAGACCCCGGGACCUUUACUAUACCUUGGUAUUGGCGUUAGGCGCGGAUUGUGUAGCAUAGGCGGGAGGCUUCGAAGCGUGGGCGCCAGCUCAUGUGGAGCCGCAAGGUGAAAUACCGCUCUGUUCUCGUUUGACGUCUAACCUCGACAAGUCAUCCUUGUCAGGGACAGUGCCUGGCGGGUAGUUCAACUGGGGCGGUUGCCUCCCAAAGAGUAACGGAGGCGCUCAAAGGUCCGCUCAGCCCGGUUGGCAAUCGGGUGUCGAGUGUAAUCGCACAAGCGGGCUUGACUGCGAGGACGACGGUCCGAGCAGGGACGAAAGUCGGAGAUAGUGAUCCGGUGCCGGCGCACGGGCGCGGCAUCGCUCAACGGAUAAAAGGUACCCCGGGGAUAACAGGCUGAUCAUUCCCAAGAGUCCAUAUCGACGGGAUGGUUUGGCACCUCGAUGUCGGCUCGUCGCAUCCUGGGGCUGGAGCAGGUCCCAAGGGUUCGGCUGUUCGCCGAUUAAAGCGGCACGCGAGCUGGGUUCAGAACGUCGUGAGACAGUUUGGUCUCUAUCCUCUGCGCUCGUUGGAAUCCUGAGGAGGCCUGCCCAUAGUACGAGAGGACCUGGGUGGACGAACCUCUGGUAUGCCGGUUGUCGCGCCAGCGGCACGGCCGGUUGGCUACGUUCGGGAGGGAUAACCGCUGAAAGCAUCUAAGCGGGAAGCCUGCUCCAAGAUUAGGAUUCCGUACGGUCUUGAACCGUUGUAGCCCGCAUGUUGAACACGUGUUUGAUAGGCCGGAGGUGGAAGCCCCGUGAGGGGUGGAGCCGACCGGUACUAACGGGCGACGGCGACACAA